Molecule: unclassified non-coding RNA, 204 nt
Filed under: Hevea brasiliensis (rubber tree)
Lineage: Eukaryota; Viridiplantae; Streptophyta; Magnoliopsida; Malpighiales; Euphorbiaceae
Source: RNAcentral
AUUAAGUUAUAAAUUUUAAAGAAUUUUAAACAAUUUUGACAAGAAAAUAAAGCAUCAAACUGUAAUAUUCUCAAAUCACACGACUGAAACUGUAGUGAAAACACAACAGUAUAUAAUGAAUACAUGAAAAACCAUAUUCCCAUCUUGUUUUUCCUUUAGCUUUUCCUAUCCAUGCAGUCAUAAGAAAGAAAUAUGUGGACAGGA